CAGUCACAGUUCGGAUUGAAGGCUGAAAUUCGCCUUCAUGAAGCCGGAAUUGCUAGUAAUGGCAGGUCAGCAUACUGCCGUGAAUACGUUCCCGGGCCUUGUACACACCGCCCGUCACACCAUGAGAGUUGGGAAUACCCGAAGCCUGUGAGCUAACUUUUAGAGGCAGCAGUCGAAGGUAGAAUCAAUGAUUGGGGUGAAGUCGUAACAAGGUACC
RNAcentral lists this ribosomal RNA (217 nucleotides) under uncultured bacterium. RNAcentral's name for it is "partial 16S ribosomal RNA". It matches the Rfam family "Bacterial small subunit ribosomal RNA", at positions 1283 to 1500 of the family's 1533-position model. The record is from RNAcentral.